This 1130-nucleotide long non-coding RNA is filed under the name Mytilus galloprovincialis (Mediterranean mussel). The record is from RNAcentral. Lineage: Eukaryota; Metazoa; Mollusca; Bivalvia; Mytilida; Mytilidae.
UAAUUAAGUCUUUCCACUUUUCUGUGGAAAGACUUAUUGUUUUUGUUCUGAUUAUUAUUAUUAUUUUUUUUUUUUUCCGCCAACUUUUGUUCUUGCGAUAAAUGUUUGUUUCGCAAUAUGUCGCUUAGAUAUUUCUCAUAUUGUAUCGUAUAGUUUAUGCGCUUUUAAAUUUCACCCUGCUAAGCCGAACCAUUUUCUUUGUAAGAGUUAUCUCCCUUUUCACUGUUUAUCAUCAAAGCGUAUCUCCUUCGUAACAAAAAAAGAUAGCGACAAAAUUCUUUUUACAAAUUGUUCGUUACAUCCUCAGUAAUUUUUGGCGUAUUUGGAUCGAAGCGAUUCGAUGAAAUUUUAUAGGAGUUAUCUACCUUUACAAAAUAAAUUUGUCGGUAUGUUUAUUUAACUCAUUAACAGAUAACCGUAUAACCCUAGGAUGUUUUUAUUUGAGUCCCCUAGGUCCUAACUUAGAAAAUGAGGUCAAGGUCAAAGGUCAAGGUCAAGUUCUCAAUUGUGACUUUUGCUUGUUUUUGCAUUUUCUCACUCACUUUGAGAGAUACAUAUAAAAGAACAAGUGCAAAAUGUCUGCUUAAUUGUUAUGAAGAUAUGCUACAUUUAGUCUUAUACAAUUAGAUGGCAUCUUAUAGGAGUUGUCGCCCCUGAAAUGUCUUGAUAUGAGGUUAUUUGAUUAUAACUUCAAGUAAGUUCAUUAUAAAGACAUUUGACCUGAUACAAAAGGUUAAGUGACAAAUGACCUUGAAAAAUGGCUACCGGAAGUGACCUUGAGAAAACCGGAAGUAGCUUUUUUUGCAAUUUUUUCACAUAAAAGUACUCAGAAUCCAUAUAUUUUUUCAUAUAGAUACAUGAACAAAUUACUGAAGACUAAAAAUGACUUCAAACAAACCGGAAGUGGCCAAUUAUCUCCCAUUCUACAUACAAAAGUAUAUAGAAACUAUAUAUUUUUGCAAUCAGUGUGAAAGAAGCUAUCAUAUGAGACCAGAUGUGACAUUCAUUUCACCGGAAGUAGCAUAUUAUCUCCCUUAUAUCACUCAAAAAGAUAAUUAAACCAUUAUUUAUCGCAUCAGUAUGAAGAAACUACCUUCUUAUCCAAAUUUCUGUGGUGUGGAAAGACUUUC